GAUUAUGUCGGUAACUGAGAAUCCCAAAUUGUCAAAACUGAAACCCCAAAUUGCUCCAAUUUCCAUCUGAUCAACAAUCAUGAACAUGGAUAAGCUAAAAAUGGCUUCUUCAUCACUGGGCGAACGAUUGAAGACAGGAGGAGCACAAAUGAGCAGGAUGGUAAGUGCAAAAAUGAAAGAAAUUCUGCAAGGUCCAACUCCAGAAUCAAAAAUGGUAGAUGAAGCUACGCUAGAGACUAUGGAGGAACCUAAUUGGAGCUUGAACCUACGAAUUUGUGGGAUGAUCAACAGCGAGGAGUUCAACGGUACGGAAAUCGUAAAGGCGAUUAAGAAGAAGUUAGUUUUGUCCAAGAGUCCAGUGACACAGAGGCUGACUUUGGAUUUGCUGGAGACUUGUACAUCUAAUUGUGAGAAAGUGUUUUCAGAAGUGGCGUCUGAGAAGGUGUUGGAUGAUAUGGUUAAAAUGAUUGAUGACCCUAAAACUGACAGUGGGAAUCGGAUUAAGGCUAUGGAGCUUAUUACUGCUUGGGGAGAAUCCGAGGACCUUAGCUACUUGCCUGUCUUUCGUCAAACUUACAUGAACUUGAAGAGGCAAUAUCCCCUGGAGUCUCAUAUGAACGAGCAGCUACUCUCACCACCUGAAAGCUACCCUAUUCCUGAUACGGGGAUGCGGAAUCAUGAGCAAACUACUUAUAUUGGUGAAUCCAUUGAAGAGAAGAAGGAACUUCUUGUAGUGACACGGAACAGUCUUGAGAUCCUUUCCAGCAUAAUGAAUUCUGAUGUUGAACCAAAGCCCAUCAAGGAUGAUCUGGCUGUGAGCAUGUUGGAGAACUGCAAGCAGUCUUUGGCAGUUAUACAAAGAAUUGUGGAAUCAACUUCAGGUGAUGAGGGGUUGAUGUUUGAAGCUUUAAAUCUUCACGAUGAGCUUCGACAAGUCAUUUCUAGGUAUGAGGAGAUGGAAGCAGCUCUAGAUUCAGGAGAAGAACUGCCUAAAACACCUGAAAAUGGAAGUGGCCUGCCCAACACAGCUCCAGAGUCGGGAGAAAGACUGCCUAAAACACGCGAAAAUGAAAGUGGCCAGCCUAAUCUUGCUGAUACCAGCGAAGCCAAUUUAGAGAAGCUGUCCUUAAAUGCAAGUGAAAGUCAUGCUGUAGCACCUACAAAAGGAGAUAGCAAUCAGUCACUCCACGAGGUUGUAAAGCCGGGUAUUUCAGGAGAGGAGAAGGCUUGAUUAGAAUAGGCAAACAAGGUGGUUGUAGUGUUUCUUGUUCCUCCCUUCUAGUUUACAAGUUAAUGUUGUUCUGCAGUUUGUUUUUAGUAACGAGUACAUCUGUUUUGUGUAUAUGUAUUACUAGACAUAACUUGCAAACAUCAGCUUGUAAUAACUACUAGAUCAUGGGAUUUCAAAUUAUAAUUCCUG
This 1420-nucleotide unclassified non-coding RNA is filed under the name Hevea brasiliensis (rubber tree). The record is from RNAcentral. Lineage: Eukaryota; Viridiplantae; Streptophyta; Magnoliopsida; Malpighiales; Euphorbiaceae.